This 497-nucleotide ribosomal RNA is filed under the name uncultured bacterium. Its description in RNAcentral is "partial 16S ribosomal RNA". It matches the Rfam family "Bacterial small subunit ribosomal RNA", at positions 28 to 507 of the family's 1533-position model. The record is from RNAcentral.
GAUGAACGCUGGCGGCGUGCCUAAUACAUGCAAGUCGAGCGAACAGAUGAGGAGCUUGCUCCUCUGACGUUAGCGGCGGACGGGUGAGUAACACGUGGAUAACCUACCUAUAAGACUGGGAUAACUACGGGAAACCGGAGCUAAUACCGGAUAAUAUAUUGAACCGCAUGGUUCAAUAGUGAAAGACGGUUUUGCUGUCACUUAUAGAUGGAUCCGCGCCGCAUUAGCUAGUUGGUAAGGUAACGGCUUACCAAGGCAACGAUGCGUAGCCGACCUGAGAGGGUGAUCGGCCACACUGGAACUGAGACACGGUCCAGACUCCUACGGGAGGCAGCAGAAGGGAAUCUUCCGCAAUGGGCGAAAGCCUGACGGAGCAACGCCGCGUGAGUGAUGAAGGUCUUCGGAUCGUAAAACUCUGUUAUUAGGGAAGAACAAAUGUGUAAGUAACUAUGCACGUCUUGACGGUACCUAAUCAGAAAGCCACGGCUAACUACGUG